RNAcentral lists this ribosomal RNA (484 nucleotides) under uncultured bacterium. RNAcentral's name for it is "partial 16S ribosomal RNA". It matches the Rfam family "Bacterial small subunit ribosomal RNA", at positions 30 to 507 of the family's 1533-position model. The record is from RNAcentral.
AUUGAACGCUGGCGGCAGGCCUAACACAUGCAAGUCGAGCGGAUGAAGGGAGCUUGCUCCUGGAUUCAGCGGCGGACGGGUGAGUAAUGCCUAGGAAUCUGCCUGGUGGUGGGGGAUAACGUCCGGAAACGGGCGCUAAUACCGCAUACGUCCUGAGGGAGAAAGUGGGGGAUCUUCGGACCUCACGCUAUCAGAUGAGCCUAGGUCGGAUUAGCUAGUUGGUGGGGUAAAGGCCUACCAAGGCGACGAUCCGUAACUGGUCUGAGAGGAUGAUCAGUCACACCGGAACUGAGACACGGUCCAGACUCCUACGGGAGGCAGCAGUGGGGAAUAUUGGACAAUGGGCGAAAGCCUGAUCCAGCCAUGCCGCGUGUGUGAAGAAGGUCUUCGGAUUGUAAAGCACUUUAAGUUGGGAGGAAGGGCAGUAAGUUAAUACCUUGCUGUUUUGACGUUACCAACAGAAUAAGCACCGGCUAACUUCGUG